UUCCAACACCCAUCAGUAGGUGUGCCUUCCUGGAAUCCUUCAGUGGAUUCAUAAAAAUUAGCAUCCCUCAGUAGAUGCUACCCAGAAAUUGUUCCAAAAAAAAUCACAUAAUUACAAGAUUAAAAAUGAAAUAAACCUAAACUAAAACAAAUUAAAAUUGAUUUUUCAACAAUUGGGAUGGCCCCAACACACACCCAUCAGUAGGUGUUGAAUUUCUUCUUGCUUGGUAUUCUCUUUUUCUUCUUCUUUCUGCUAAAUCUCUUUAAAAAGUUGAUCGAACCAAGCACAUGUUUCCAUGCAUCAAUCAUAGGAACUUUAAUCUCUAAUUUCUUGAAGAUCUCCAUGAAGUACUUGAACCUAUUUUCCUUCCUAUGAUUUUUCUUCUGAUGAGGAAAGGGUUUUGCAUAUGAUAUUUUCUUCCUUCCUCUCCUCCUCUUUUUCUCAACCUUCUCCCUCAACUUUCUCUUUUUCUCUUUUCUUCUUUUCUUCUUUAUUUUCGCAUAUCUUCUCUUUUUUUCUUUUUUCUUAACCACUGUUUUUUCUCCCUCAUCAUCUUUAUCUUCCUCAACCAACUCUUCUGUUUCUUCUUCUUUUAAAUCUCUCUUUAUCUCUUCUUCCUCUAUCUUUUCCUCCUUGACAACCUUAUCAUUUUUAGAGAUAAUGGCUUGAUAUUCUUCUUCAGGGUUAACUUCAGUAUUAUCCCUAAUAAUGCCCAAAGACUUCAAUAUGCAAGAGUGUUGUUCCUACAAUAAACGUUCUUCUGCUUCCCCCAACGUUUCUUUUGGCAAGGAGAAUAGUUUCUGCUGUAAAACUCAUUCAGCUUCUCCCAAGGUUUCUUUUGGCACAGAGGAGAGUUCCUGCCAUAAACGUUGCUUAGCUUCCCCCAACGUUUUUGUUGGCCUAGAGAGUUGUUGCUUAACAUCUCGCCCAUUCUGGCUUUGAUUCAAGUUUGAGUGAGGUUCCCACCAGUGGUUGAAAUUAUUUUGGUAGAAUUGACUACCCACAUAAUCAAAUUGUUGUCUAAACUGCAUUCUGCAAACAUUAGGCACAAAACCCUAGAAAACAUUUAUUAGAACAAAAAUAAAAAUAAAAAUAAACAUAAAAUCAAGUCAAAUUCAAUCAAUCCACACUACUUGAAAAAGUAAACCUCGAGUACCCGGCAACGGCGCCAAAAACUUGUUAACGGAUUGGUGUUGACAAAUUGGCAAGUGUACCAAAUCGUACAAGUAAUAUAAAUGGUAAG
RNAcentral lists this long non-coding RNA (1243 nucleotides) under Vigna radiata. Its description in RNAcentral is "long non-coding RNA (VRAD_LNC014566)". The record is from RNAcentral. Lineage: Eukaryota; Viridiplantae; Streptophyta; Magnoliopsida; Fabales; Fabaceae.